RNAcentral lists this ribosomal RNA (254 nucleotides) under uncultured bacterium. RNAcentral describes it as "partial 16S ribosomal RNA". It matches the Rfam family "Bacterial small subunit ribosomal RNA", at positions 524 to 776 of the family's 1533-position model. The record is from RNAcentral.
UACGUAGGGUGCGAGCGUUGUCCGGAAUUAUUGGGCGUAAAGAGCUCGUAGGCGGUGUGUCGCGUCGGUCGUGAAAACUUUCAGCUUAACUGGGAGCUUGCGGUCGAUACGGGCAUCACUGGAGUUCGGCAGGGGAGACUGGAAUUCCUGGUGUAGCGGUGAAAUGCGCAGAUAUCAGGAGGAACACCGGUGGCGAAGGCGGGUCUCUGGGCCGAUACUGACGCUGAGGAGCGAAAGCGUGGGGAGCGAACAGG